AUUCUGCCCAUGCGGGGAAGGAUGAGAAGCCUCGACCAAGGUUCGACUCGAGCGCCAGCGAGAGAGCGUUGCCGCAGGCAACGACCCGAAGGGCGAAGCGCGCAGCGUUUAGUAAUCCUUCCCCCACCACCA
RNAcentral lists this small RNA (132 nucleotides) under Escherichia coli. RNAcentral's name for it is "RtT sRNA". It matches the Rfam family "RtT RNA". From Rfam's summary of the family: This family represents a bacterial cis-regulatory element known as RtT RNA. The exact function of RtT is unknown although it is thought that it may be involved in changing the cellular response in relation to amino acid starvation. The record is from RNAcentral. Lineage: Bacteria; Pseudomonadati; Pseudomonadota; Gammaproteobacteria; Enterobacterales; Enterobacteriaceae.